GAAGAUUGUUCAUAAGAAGCGAUGAACUUGAUGCUGCAUGGGCUCUAUUUACACCGUUGUUAAAGGAGCUGGAAGAGAAGAAGAUCGCACCAGAGCUUUAUCCAUACGGAAGUAGGGGGCCAGUGGGAGCACAUUAUCUAGCUGCAAAGCACAACGUUCGUUGGGGAGAUUUAUCUGGUGAUGAUUGAUUGUAUGUGAGAUCUUCUUGAGGAGUUCAUUUAGUUUAUAGGAAUUGAUCAGCUCAUCAAGAAUGCUGAAAUUAUGGACAACUUGGAACUGUUGUUAGCAAUUAUUGUAUAGCUUGUCUAUUUUGUUUAAGAAUACACUCAUGUUUCAUGUUAAA
RNAcentral lists this unclassified non-coding RNA (343 nucleotides) under Hevea brasiliensis (rubber tree). The record is from RNAcentral. Lineage: Eukaryota; Viridiplantae; Streptophyta; Magnoliopsida; Malpighiales; Euphorbiaceae.